CUUUUGUUAAACUUUAUUAGCUUGUCCUGCAAUUUUGGCCUAAAUGUUUUUCAUUAUCUUGCACUUGCCUUCCAUUUGGACUUGUAUAGUGUGAUAUUCUCCCCCUGUUACUCUCCCCCCGAAUUAACCCUGUAUUUUCUGCUUUAUUAAACUGUUUCUGUUGCUGGCACAUUUUCUUUCCUAUGCUUUACUCUGGUCUCGGCGAUCGCUGCAUUUUACUGCGGGCACGCUUUUUAUUCAUUGGUGCUGGGACUUCAGGGCAGGUCUCUGGG
Pelobates cultripes (western spadefoot toad) is the source of this 272-nucleotide non-coding RNA. Lineage: Eukaryota; Metazoa; Chordata; Amphibia; Anura; Pelobatidae. The record is from the annotation of a GenBank genome assembly.